GACGAACGCUGGCGGCGUGCUUAACACAUGCAAGUCGAACGGAAAGGCCCUGCUUUUGUGGGGUGAUCGAGUGGCGAACGGGUGAGUAACACGUGAGUAACCUGCCCUUGACUUUGGGAUAACUUCAGGAAACUGGGGCUAAUACCGGAUAGGAGCUCCUGCUGCAUGGAGGGGGUUGGAAAGUUUCGGCGGUUGGGGAUGGACUCGCGGCUUAUCAGCUUGUUGGUGGGGUAGUGGCUUACCAAGGCAUUGACGGGUAGCCGGCCUGGGAGGGUGACCGGGCUCCUUGGUACUGAGGGACGCCGCAGUCUGCUACAUUGGGCAGCAGUGGGGAAUAUUGCACAAUGGGCGCACGCCUGUUGCGGCAGCGCCGCGUUCGUGAUGACGGCCUGCGGGUUGUAAACCGCUUUCGCCUAUGACGAAGCGUUAGUGACGGUAAUGGGUAAAGAAGCACCGGCUAACUACGUG
Molecule: ribosomal RNA, 468 nt
Filed under: uncultured bacterium
Lineage: Bacteria
Description: partial 16S ribosomal RNA
Rfam family: Bacterial small subunit ribosomal RNA
Source: RNAcentral